This 446-nucleotide ribosomal RNA is filed under the name uncultured bacterium. Its description in RNAcentral is "bacterial SSU rRNA". It matches the Rfam family "Bacterial small subunit ribosomal RNA", at positions 329 to 792 of the family's 1533-position model. The record is from RNAcentral.
UACCAGACUCCUACGGGAGGCAGCAGUGGGGGAUAUUGCACAAUGGGGGCAACCCUGAUGCAGCGACGCCGCGUGAGCGAUGGAGUACUUCGGUAUGUAAAGCUCUGUCAGCAGGGAAGAGAAUGACGGUACCUGACCAAGAAGCCCCGGCUAAAUACGUGCCAGCAGCCGCGGUAAUACGUAUGGGGCAAGCGUUAUCCGGAUUUACUGGGUGUAAAGGGAGCGUAGGCGGCAGGGCAAGCCUGAUGUGAAAGUCCGGGGCUCAACCCCGGGACUGCAUUGGAAACUGUCCGACUAGAGUGCAGGAGAGGUAAGUGGAAUUCCUGGUGUAGCGGUGAAAUGCGUAGAUAUUAGGAGGAACACCAGUGGCGAAGGCGGCUUACUGGACUGUAACUGACGUUGAGGCUCGAAAGCGUGGGGAGCAAACAGGAUUAGAUACCCCAGUA